Molecule: long non-coding RNA, 3898 nt
Organism: Haemorhous mexicanus (house finch)
Lineage: Eukaryota; Metazoa; Chordata; Aves; Passeriformes; Fringillidae
Exons: 3
Source: RefSeq, a predicted model, not a curated record
CUCUGCAGCAACUUCUUUCAGAGGGCAGUCCACUAUUCCCUUUCCUCUGCCUUCUCCUUCCUGGCCCAGUACUGCUCCUUUCCCCAUGCUGGCACCAGCACACACAUGAUUGUGAAGUGAACCAGGACAGGGAACUCUGCCAGCUAAAAACGAAACAAUUUCCUUUUCCCCAGGUUAGUUUUGACCUUGAUGAGUUCCCUGAUCUGGUUCGUUGCGGGGCCACAAGAACACUUGUGCUGGCACAAGUGAAGCUUUCUCUGGAUUUACGGUGGUGUAGCUGAAAGCAGGAUUGGCCCCAUGACUGUAGCAGCAUUAGUCUGCUCCCUGCUCUGGCAGCUGACAAUGCAUUUCCUUCUGCAGAGUCCCCACAGACUCCCCAGGGUUGCCAGUACACAGAGAAGAGGGUUGCUAGAGGCACUUUCACACCUGCUAAUGGAAGAGUCAUCAAAACUGGUCUCUGAGGGAAAUGAGUUCUCCUUGAAAAUGAAAAGAGUUAAAUCAUGGUGGGUGCUUCCUGACAUGAAAUUCAGCCCAUGAGAGGAGACUGCUGGAGGGGAGGGAGUUGUCCCUUUUUAGGACUAUACCCACCUUCUGAACACUGUCUCUCUGCUUGCUUCUUGUCUUACAAGAAUAUGCAAAAGAUGACAAGUAUCUUUUGCAAGACCUGCAGCAAUUUACUGCAGGAUUUGUAGAGAAAAACAGUACAGCCUCCCUGUUUCCCCUCCAAACCCAGGACUGUGAGAUUAUUGCAGCAAAAGAAUUAAGGCUCUUGCUGGAAGAGAAAAACUCACUCGUUUGCAUGGGAGUUGCAGGCAGGACUUGGGUGAUGGGCUAAUACCCAUCAACACAUUUUUGAUGUCACUGUGCUGUUCCCCUCUACUUGAGCUGACAGCUGAUGGCAGGACUUGGCUGAAUCUCCCCUGCAUUGAGAGGAGUUUGGAUGUCAGAUGCAGGGAGAUGGAGCAAGCUUGAGCAGCCAGCCGUGAGCAGAGUGAAGCAGUGAGGAAUGAUUCUCUGCUCGGGGGCGUGAGGUGCCAUUGCUAGCCUGACCUUUUGAAUACAAAGCAUUUGUCAGAAAUCCAGAGAAAAACGAGCUGAACCAGUCAGGGUGGCUCUGCCUUUCUUUUAAGGGAAGCUCAUGUAUUUAAGCAGACACACCUACCCCCAGGCAUGACCCAGACAUUGUGUGCAAGGAUCUCUGAUGAUACUGGGGGCCCUCGUUAACUCCAGUGAGCAGGAGAAAUAAACUUCACACCCUUGUGUGGGCUCUUGGCUCAUUCCAGAUGGGAGUCCAGUAACUCCCAUUCUAGCCAGGGCAAGUUGUAAAAGGGUAACAAGAUGUUAAAAGCACCAUGACACGGCUGCAGGCAGCUCUACUAAAAGGUGUGUGAAUCCUAAAUAUCCUGUCCUGCGCCUUGGAGUUUCAGUGCUCAGUGUCUGCCAUGCAGCCAGCCUGUCUCAGAGGCUGGCUCCCAAUAUCUCUGCGAGUCCCUGAGCCACUCUCCAAUGUAGAUCCCCCAAAAUCUCAUGCCUGGAGCUCUGGACUCCCGUGACUGAACCCCCCAUGAUGUUCUCCCUGUGCAGCAGGGCCUCGCAGCCGUGAAGGUUCUCAGCCUCACACCUUGGUGGUCAUGGUAGGAGGAUGAGGAUGUGAGUGGCAGCUCAGGGUCAAGAGAGAGCAGUGAAGUUUAUGCACCCUGGAAUCCCUGUCAGAGGCACUUUUGUGCACCACAGCUGAGAGUUCUGUCCAUCCAGAUCUGGAGAGCUGAUAUACACCAUGCAUCUUCCCAUGUGUGAGAGGUCACAGACUGCUCUGUGUGGCAGAAUGAGUAAGAUGAACCCUCCUUAGACUCCACCAUUCCAAGUAUGCUUUUCCCAGGAGCAUUUCUUCCCUCCUUUAUUAGAUCUGCUUUAAGCUGCUGCAGAGCUGCACCCCCAGCAACCUCCCUGCGACUCUUGGAAACGUCCACAGGUUGCACACCAUGGAAUAACACAUCAGCACAUUCCAGAGUCACUUUUAACUCUGAUCUCCUCCCUAAGCCAUUCACGCACGCAGAUCUCCUAUGUGGAUUAAGGAAGGCAGAACUCCAGCUGGGAAGGACCCCCUCCUGUUCCCUGCUCCUUUCUGCAGCAGCAGACAGAACAAUUGGCUGUCCGAGUGAACCUCGAGUCCCGCAGCGCUGCCUGAGCCGUGCGGGGCAAAGAUCCAGCGGGGUAAGGAACCAGCGGAACGGAGAGCUGACAGAACUCUGGUGUCGCUCCGUGCUCGGCCCUGACAUCUAGUGGAACAAUCCCUCUAAAGCACCUCAAGCCGAGCUGGAAAGAUCAGGGUUCGCUUCCCUGCGAGGCUCGAUGGAGCAACCAUUCGUCUGAAGGAUCGUUUCUUUUAUUGCACGUAACACUUGCCAAAGGAUUUUGUUGCGGAAGGAAGGAGGAGGUCGCUGCAUGAACAAGGAGAACGCACUUUGGGUAGUAGUUUUUACCUUUUCCUCCAAAUCUGAACUUGAUUUUGCUGUCAGGUGGAAGGUCUUUUUGCUGCAGCAGUGACAAACAUCAGUUUCACAGUUACUUCUUGAUUAACACCAUUAAAUGAAAACCAACUGUGACACAAUCCCAAGAGGCCAUAGGGUAAAACUGUCAGAGAGCUCAUAAUAAACCCUGUGAAAGAUGCAAUAUUGCUAUGGGCUAAAUUUUCCACCUGGCUUCUCAGAACACAGCUGUGCCACUUGUAAGUACCACUGUUUGCAUACAGGACCCUUGCUCUGUUUUCACAGGUGAGAAAGGAGCUCUCAGUGCAUGGAAACAUUUUGUCUAUAUAAACCAGAUUUUUCAACUGCUCAGCUGGAAGUGAUGCACAUAAUUGUCUUUCAUAAGGAAAUGCAUAAAAACCUCACUGCAACCAAGAGGCCAAAUGUGUUUUUUUGCUCUUGGAAAGUUGUGGAAUAUUUGUGAUGCACUUUGUGUAGGAGCUGAAAGCGUUACGGUGACAGUGAUGACAAAGAUGGCCAGCUGCUGCUGAGGUACAACAGGAAUCUUUAUUUAUAAGAUUUAGAGACUCUGCCUUUGUGGUGCUUGAUCACCAGCACAGACAAAUUGAGUUUCCCAUGGCCAGACAGCCCUGCAAGGGUCUGGGUCUAAGGUUCAUGCCUUCCCACAUGCAAGUCAGAUCUUUACAAAGGCCAAACCUCAUUCUUUUGCAUUCUUCAAACAGGGGCAUAGAGAAAGGGGCAGAAAUGCCUUAAAUGGCCCCAGGAAUUUCCACCCCAAGGUUGGAGUACUCCUCAGAGAUGUGCUUCAGGGUGCCAGGCCAAGUGACUGACUAACCCUGGGGAAAGUUAUUGCCCAUCAGCUGACUCUGCUUGUGGGGCACACCUUACUUCACCUCUAAUGCCAACAGAGUUGGUUACUGGGCUGUGCUGAUUGUUGGCAACUUAUUAAACUGCUUCUGAUUGCAUGUCUGUAUCUUAAAAGUCUGAUCUGAGACAGGUGAAGUAGAAUCAGAGCCAAAGCUUUUGUACUCUUUCCAUCUGCUACUUGAUUCUUCAUCAAAUUCAGGGCCGAGGCAGUGUCAGAGAGCUCCUGCAGAACAGAGGCAUCUCUGCUGUUAAUGUGCUGGGCAGUGCCUCUGUCUCAGGGCCAGGGCUUCUCCUGGUGGGUUUAUUUAGAAUUUGCACAAUUUGAUCACUGCACAAGUCUUAAACAAGGAAUUAAUUGAGAUUUUAAUAAAUGGUCACUGCAUGCUAAUUGAGUACCCACUUGAUUAUUUAAAGAUAUUAUGUGAAGUUUGUGUAAUUGGUUACAUUGGUAUUAAAUUAGCAUAUAAAAUCUCCUGCAACUCUCAUAUGAUUUAAUGAGGCUGUUAUCGUGCGUGAAUAAAACGGUGAUUGAUGAGUGAAAA